AGGGUUGUAAGUUAGUGGUAGAACAUCUGCUUUGAAAGAAGAAGGUCCUAGGUUCAAACCCUGACAUCUCCA
Non-coding RNA from Podarcis lilfordi (Lilford's wall lizard), 72 nucleotides. The record is from the annotation of a GenBank genome assembly. Lineage: Eukaryota; Metazoa; Chordata; Lepidosauria; Squamata; Lacertidae.